AUACGGAUGGUGCAAGCGUUAUUCGGAAUCACUGGGCAUAAAGAGCACGUAGGCGGCAGCAUAAGUCAGUGGUGAAAUCCCUCAGCUCAACUGGGGAACUGCCAUUGAUACUGUGCGGCUAGAAUGCGGGAGGGGCAGACGGAAUUCCAGGUGGAGCGGUGAAAUGCGUAGAUAUCUGGAGGAACGCCAGAGGCGAAAGCGGUCUGCUGGCCCGAAAUUGACGCUGAGGUGCGAAAGCUAGGGGAGCAAACGGGAUUAGAAACCCUUGUAGUCC
This 274-nucleotide ribosomal RNA is filed under the name uncultured bacterium. RNAcentral's name for it is "partial 16S ribosomal RNA". It matches the Rfam family "Bacterial small subunit ribosomal RNA", at positions 523 to 796 of the family's 1533-position model. The record is from RNAcentral.